This 229-nucleotide ribosomal RNA is filed under the name uncultured bacterium. RNAcentral describes it as "partial 16S ribosomal RNA". It matches the Rfam family "Bacterial small subunit ribosomal RNA", at positions 568 to 796 of the family's 1533-position model. The record is from RNAcentral.
UGCGUAGGCGGAUUAAUAAGUCCGUGGUGAAAUCUUUCGGCUCAACCGAGAAACUGCCAUUGAUACUGUUAAUCUUGAGUUCGGUUGAGGUAGGCGGAAUGUGUAAUGUAGCGGUGAAAUGCUUAGAUAUUACACAGAACGCCAAUUGCGUAGGCAGCUUACUAGACCGACACUGACGCUGAGGCACGAAAGCGUGGGGAGCGAACAGGAUUAGAUACCCUGGUAGUCC